UAUUUCACAUCAAAAGUACAUGUAGUGGUAUCCUUUCUCGUGGCAUCCAUCUACUUCUGCUUCAACCAUCCACCAUAGGACUGCACCAGUGGAGCAUCGUAGAUGGGGGCCUGUCCAACGCGCACCACCGAGGGCACCACUGGAACGGACUCGACCACAUUGACACGGCGAACCACCGGCACACGGCGGACCACAGGCACACUGCGCACCACCGGAACGGAGCGAAUAACGGGCACGGAACGGACCACCGGAACGGAGGACACCGGCGAGUAGAUGACACUGCACUGGGCGAGGGCCAUGCAGGCGGCGAUCAGGAAGGCGGCGAUGAAGAACUUGUAUAAUUUAUUUAUUGCAACAUUAAAAUGUAAACAAUUUAGGUGAUUUUCAAAUUAAAAGCCAUUUUUAUGGGCAACACAUUAAAAAAAUUUCAGACUGCAGACGAUAAAAAAAACCAGAACACAAUUAAGAUCACUUUUUCUUCACAAAUUUUGCUGAUGCACACUGUUUUUUUUUUUUAUUAUUACUGUUUUUAUAAUUCAACAUUCUACUUAUUUUCACAUAAAAAAAAAAACUUGAAACCUUGAACUUGUAUUUGUAUUUGUUUCGUUAUCGUACAUUCACAAUUUGGUCAGCUAUCCUUUGUUUCGUAUCCUUGCGACCUUCAACUCACCUUCAUGUUUCCAAACUUUGUUCUUUUUGAGUAAGUUGUGCUUGGAGGACUGGACAAUUUGUGCUGAUCUGUCGCCGGUUACGAUGAUCUUAUAUACCCGUAGUGUCAAGAAUCUGAAAAGUGGAGCAAUAAAACUGGCCAAAAAGAACGUAUACGGAUGCAAAUUUUGUGCGGGGUUCGUUUAAUUGUUUAGAUAUUGAUUUUGGGAUGCCAUUAUCAUUGAUAUUUGCC
Molecule: non-coding RNA, 901 nt
Organism: Drosophila melanogaster (fruit fly)
Lineage: Eukaryota; Metazoa; Arthropoda; Insecta; Diptera; Drosophilidae
Source: Ensembl